This is a long non-coding RNA of Gambusia affinis (western mosquitofish), 792 nucleotides long. RefSeq lists it as uncharacterized. The transcript is spliced from 4 exons. The record is from RefSeq and is a predicted model, not a curated record. Lineage: Eukaryota; Metazoa; Chordata; Actinopteri; Cyprinodontiformes; Poeciliidae.
UUUAACAACGCGAAUUUUACGGAAUUUACACCGGCAGUGUUAUUUUAAAGCUGUGUGGUGUCAAAACAACACUCACACUCUUUAUUUAACACUACACCUGAGAUUUCAACACUGGCAUUUUUACUGUGCAUCUUAGAGGCAGAUUGAAGCUGUUUAUGUCUGUUCAGGUUAUUUCUGAGAUAAUCCCCUGACAGCACCCCUCACGUGGACCUGAGGCUACAUUUUCCUGUGACUCUUGUUGCGCCAACGCCUGAGCAAGUCUCCACUGACGGCUGAUGAGUGCCAGCACCAUGUCUGAAAUAUUAAUGUAUCUCAUGCAGCAGUUGACCGUGAUCGGUUAAGACACACAGCGGCUCCCGGGACACGUCUGGGGGCCCCAAAGACGCAGAUGGACAGAGGAGAUGUCUGUGCAGGAGAUGAGAUGCAUUUGUGCAGAUUGGGCAGAAUAACUACAGAGUCUGGACCGUCAGCGGUUGAAAAGCGAUUACUUCGUGGAGGCCUGGACUCUGUUGAAGUUUAAGACUUCACCCAAUUGCCAGCGUUUGCCCAUGACACACGUAAUACGCCAGUUCUACGUGAUGAAGCUUUCCGGAAAUUGCCUGCGUUGUAAACGACCGUCCUCUGUUGCAUUCUCCUGUCAGCUGAAUGGCUCGGUUGAAAUUGUACCAUAGAAAUCCAUUACAAUGGGAGAAAUCCCAGACGGAGAACCGAAGAGACAUUGAAAUAGAGCGGGAUUGCGUAGGAAAGCAAUGGCCUGACGAGGUCAAUGCAAGAAAAAAAAAAUCUCAUUAA